GACGAACGCUGGCGGCGUGCUUAACACAUGCAAGUCGAACGGAAAGGCCCUGCUUUUGUGGGGUGCUCGAGUGGCGAACGGGUGAGUAACACGUGAGUAACCUGCCCUUGACUUUGGGAUAAAUUCAGGAAACUGGGGCUAAUACCGGAUAGGAGCUCCUGCUGCAUGGUGGGGGUUGGAAAGUUUCGGCGGUUGGGGAUGGACUCGCGGCUUAUCAGCUUGUUGGUGGGGUAGUGGCUUACCAAGGCUUUGACGGGUAGCCGGCCUGAGAGGGUGACCGGCCACAUUGGGACUGAGAUACGGCCCAGACUCCUACGGGAGGCAGCAGUGGGGAAUAUUGCACAAUGGGCGGAAGCCUGAUGCAGCAACGCCGCGUGCGGGAUGACGGCCUUCGGGUUGUAAACCGCUUUCGCCUGUGACGAAGCGUGAGUGACGGUAAUGGGUAAAGAAGCACCGGCUAACUACGUG
RNAcentral lists this ribosomal RNA (468 nucleotides) under uncultured bacterium. RNAcentral describes it as "partial 16S ribosomal RNA". It matches the Rfam family "Bacterial small subunit ribosomal RNA", at positions 28 to 507 of the family's 1533-position model. The record is from RNAcentral.